GUUCGAGAAGCCUGUAGCCCUGGCUGGAAACACAAAGCACAUGCAGUAAUGGAUGAUUCGACUGUACGCUCAUUACUCAUGCCCGGAAACAUACUGCUCAGCACUGACAUUUUUCAAGCAUGGAAAGGUCACAGACAAUACUCUGCGAGUGGAUUCUAAUCUUUCAAAUCCCACUGCCAAGUUCUACGUUUCUCCAUCUUACAUACAAUGUGCGUUGUUUUGAAAUGUGCUAUGUAUUUCUUUGAACGUAAUAACAAUCAUGUCAUUUUAAUGAAUGCGUAUCUCAAAUCACCUAUUAAAUAUUAACUAGAUAAGCUACAAUCACUAUAUUUCCCCUUUAAAUGGCGACACUUAUAAAACUAAACAUAUAUUUUGCGGCAGCAGUUAUUUAAUAGAACCUGAC
Non-coding RNA from Pelobates cultripes (western spadefoot toad), 403 nucleotides. Lineage: Eukaryota; Metazoa; Chordata; Amphibia; Anura; Pelobatidae. The record is from the annotation of a GenBank genome assembly.